GCGGGUUUAGCUCAGUUGGGAGAGCGUCAGACUGAAGUCAAACUUCAUUCCUCGGAUAAUCUGAAGGUCAUGUGUUCGAUCCACAUAAACCGCA
This 94-nucleotide transfer RNA is filed under the name Echria macrotheca. RNAcentral's name for it is "tRNA-Phe". It matches the Rfam family "tRNA". Rfam says of the family: Transfer RNA (tRNA) molecules are approximately 80 nucleotides in length. Their secondary structure includes four short double-helical elements and three loops (D, anti-codon, and T loops). Lineage: Eukaryota; Fungi; Ascomycota; Sordariomycetes; Sordariales; Schizotheciaceae. The record is from RNAcentral.